Molecule: non-coding RNA, 263 nt
Organism: Pelobates cultripes (western spadefoot toad)
Lineage: Eukaryota; Metazoa; Chordata; Amphibia; Anura; Pelobatidae
Source: the annotation of a GenBank genome assembly
CUCAUUAAUAGGUACACAGUUUUCCCCAAUUCGUGGAUGUACCCUAAAUACAGGGGGUACACCUUUGAAUGAGGGGUCCCCUGGUAGCCCUGAUCUGGGUGAGCAACAUACUCAAAAUUCACCCAGAUCGGACCAGGUGUUCGGGAGUUAUUGCAGGAGGAAGAUUUGACCGACCGCACGGGCACAGUAGCUGAAAAUAGUUCCAUGAAUUCUGGCCCUGCGGUCGGUCUCCUUUCGUGAAUAAAAAGUCCCGAAAGUCUAUG